GACGAACGCUGGCGGCGUGCUUAACACAUGCAAGUCGAACGAUGAAGCCCAGCUUGCUGGGUGGAUUAGUGGCGAACGGGUGAGUAACACGUGGGUGAUCUGCCCUGCACUUCGGGAUAAGCCUGGGAAACUGGGUCUAAUACCGGAUAGGACCUUCUGCCGCAUGGUGGGGGGUGGAAAGGUUUUCCGGUGCAGGAUGGGCCCGCGGCCUAUCAGCUUGUUGGUGGGGUAACGGCCCACCAAGGCGACGACGGGUAGCCGGCCUGAGAGGGCGACCGGCCACACUGGGACUGAGACACGGCCCAGACUCCUACGGGAGGCAGCAGUGGGGAAUAUUGCACAAUGGGCGCAAGCCUGAUGCAGCGACGCCGCGUGAGGGAUGACGGCCUUCGGGUUGUAAACCUCUUUCAGUACCGACGAAGCGCAAGUGACGGUAGGUACAGAAGAAGCACCGGCCAACUACGUGCCAGCCGCCGCGGUAA
Molecule: ribosomal RNA, 482 nt
Filed under: uncultured bacterium
Lineage: Bacteria
Description: partial 16S ribosomal RNA
Rfam family: Bacterial small subunit ribosomal RNA
Source: RNAcentral